AACGAACGCUGGCGGCAUGCCUAACACAUGCAAGUCGAACGAGACCUUCGGGUCUAGUGGCGCACGGGUGCGUAACGCGUGGGAACCUGCCCUUAGGUUCGGAAUAACUCCCCGAAAGGGGUGCUAAUACCGGAUAAUGUCUUCGGACCAAAGAUUUAUCGCCUUUGGAUGGGCCCGCGUUGGAUUAGCUAGUUGGUAGAGUAAAAGCCUACCAAGGCGACGAUCCAUAGCUGGUCUGAGAGGAUGAUCAGCCACACUGGGACUGAGACACGGCCCAGACUCCUACGGGAGGCAGCAGUGGGGAAUAUUGGACAAUGGGCGAAAGCCUGAUCCAGCAAUGCCGCGUGAGUGAUGAAGGCCUUAGGGUUGUAAAGCUCUUUUACCCGGGAUGAUAAUGACAGUACCGGGAGAAUAAGCUCCGGCUAACUCCGCG
RNAcentral lists this ribosomal RNA (433 nucleotides) under uncultured bacterium. RNAcentral describes it as "partial 16S ribosomal RNA". It matches the Rfam family "Bacterial small subunit ribosomal RNA", at positions 29 to 507 of the family's 1533-position model. The record is from RNAcentral.